GACGAACGCUGGCGGCGUGCUUAACACAUGCAAGUCGAACGGAAAGGCCCCUUUGGGGGUCCUCGAGUGGCGAACGGGUGCGUAACACGUGAGUAACCUGCCCUUGACUUCGGGAUAACUUCAGGAAACUGGGGCUAAUACCGGAUAGGAAUCCUUGCUGCAUGGGGGGGGUUGGAAAGAUUCUGCGGUUUUGGAUGGACUCGCGGCUUAUCAGCUUGUUGGUGGGGUAGUGGCUUACCAAGGCUUUGACGGGUAGCCGGCCUGAGAGGGCGACCGGCCACAUUGGGACUGAGAUACGGCCCAGACGCCUACGGGAGGCAGCAGUGGGGAAGAUUGCACAAUGGGCGGAAGCCUGAUGCAGCAACGCCGCGUGCGGGAUGACGGUCUUCGGGUUGUAAACCGGUUUCAGCAGGGGCGAAGCUUGUGGUGACGGUACCUGCAGAAGAAGCACCGGCUAACUACGUG
RNAcentral lists this ribosomal RNA (465 nucleotides) under uncultured bacterium. RNAcentral describes it as "partial 16S ribosomal RNA". It matches the Rfam family "Bacterial small subunit ribosomal RNA", at positions 28 to 507 of the family's 1533-position model. The record is from RNAcentral.